RNAcentral lists this ribosomal RNA (714 nucleotides) under uncultured fungus. Its description in RNAcentral is "eukaryotic LSU rRNA". The stretch from base 187 to 341 matches the Rfam family "5.8S ribosomal RNA". The record is from RNAcentral. Lineage: Eukaryota; Fungi.
GGGUCUUAUGAGCUGGCUUUUCGCGAAGCACUGUGCUCGGGCCCCGCUCCAAUCCACUCAACCCCUGUGCACUUUCGGAGUUGCGGGUCCUUUGUAGUGAAGGCCCGUGGCUUCGUCUCUUAUCACAAACCAUAUGUAUUAUUGUUUUGUAGAACGUGGAUGCCUGCAAAGGCGGAAACUCAAUACAACUUUCAACAACGGAUCUCUUGGCUCUCGCAUCGAUGAAGAACGCAGCGAAAUGCGAUAAGUAAUGUGAAUUGCAGAAUUCAGUGAAUCAUCGAAUCUUUGAACGCACCUUGCGCUCCUGGACUUGUUUCAGGAGCAUGCCUGUUUGAGUGUCAUGAAGCUCUCAAGCAGAAUCCUUUAUUGUGAUUCUUGUUUGGAUUUGAACUCUGCCGUGUUAAAGCGGCUGGUUCUAAAAGCAUUAGCUGGUCCUUGAUUUUCUUGGUUCUACUCGGCGUGAUAAUUAUCUAACGUUGAGGACAUCUCUUUAUUGAGGUGGCCAGGGUUUUCUAUGGGUUGCUUCUAAUCGUCUUCACAGACAAUAUAUUUCAAUAUCUGACCUCGAAUCAGGUGGGACUACCCGCUGAACUUAAGCAUAUCAAUAAGCGGAGGAAAAGAAACUAACAAGGAUUCCCCUAGUAACGGCGAGUGAAGCGGGAUGAGCUCAAAUUUAAAAAUCUGGCGGUCUUUGGCCGUCCGAGUUGUAAUCUA